RNAcentral lists this ribosomal RNA (510 nucleotides) under Salmonella enterica subsp. enterica serovar Infantis. RNAcentral's name for it is "partial 23S ribosomal RNA". Lineage: Bacteria; Pseudomonadati; Pseudomonadota; Gammaproteobacteria; Enterobacterales; Enterobacteriaceae. The record is from RNAcentral.
CCGGAGAAUGUUAUCACGGGAGACACACGGCGGGUGCUAACGUCCGUCGUGAAGAGGGAAACAACCCAGACCGCCAGCUAAGGUCCCAAAGUCAUGGUUAAGUGGGAAACGAUGUGGGAAGGCCCAGACAGCCAGGAUGUUGGCUUAGAAGCAGCCAUCAUUUAAAGAAAGCGUAAUAGCUCACUGGUCGAGUCGGCCUGCGCGGAAGAUGUAACGGGGCUAAACCAUGCACCGAAGCUGCGGCAGCGACACUCAGGUGUUGUUGGGUAGGGGAGCGUUCUGUAAGYCUGYGAAGGUGGSCUGUGAGGSWUGCUGGAGGUAUCAGAAGUGCGAAUGCUGACAUAAGUAACGAUAAAGCGGGUGAAAAGCCCGCUCGCCGGAAGACCAAGGGUUCCUGUCCAACGUUAAUCGGGGCAGGGUGAGUCGACCCCUAAGGCGAGGCCGAAAGGCGUAGUCGAUGGGAAACGGGUUAAUAUUCCCGUACUUGGUGUUACUGCGAAGGGGGGACGG